CCCUCGAUAGCUCAGUUGGCAGAGCGGAGGAUUGUAGAUGUUACAACGGUGACCCUUAGGUCGCUGGUUCAAAUCCGGCUCGAGGGA
This 87-nucleotide transfer RNA is filed under the name Cordylochernes scorpioides. RNAcentral's name for it is "tRNA-Tyr". It matches the Rfam family "tRNA". From Rfam's summary of the family: Transfer RNA (tRNA) molecules are approximately 80 nucleotides in length. Their secondary structure includes four short double-helical elements and three loops (D, anti-codon, and T loops). Further hydrogen bonds mediate the characteristic L-shaped molecular structure. tRNAs have two regions of fundamental functional importance: the anti-codon, which is responsible for specific mRNA codon recognition, and the 3' end, to which the tRNAs corresponding amino acid is attached (by aminoacyl-tRNA synthetases). tRNAs cope with the degeneracy of the genetic code in two manners: having more than one tRNA (with a specific anti-codon) for a particular amino acid; and 'wobble' base-pairing, i.e. permitting non-standard base-pairing at the 3rd anti-codon position. Lineage: Eukaryota; Metazoa; Arthropoda; Arachnida; Pseudoscorpiones; Chernetidae. The record is from RNAcentral.